AGCGAACGCUAGCGGCGGGCCUAACACAUGCAAGUCGAGCGGAGGGAGCAAUCCUUCAGCGGCGGACGGGUGAGUAACGCGUAGGUAAUGUACCUUCUGGUGGGGAAUAACCGUGGGAAACCAUGGCUAAUACCGCAUAUCGUCCUUACGGAUGAAAGCCUUCGGGCGCCCAGAAGAGCAGCCUGCGUCCCAUUAUUUAGUCCUAGUUGGUGAGGUAACGGCUCACCAAGGGUACGAUGGGUAGCUGGUCUGAGAGGAUGAUCAGCCACACUGGAACUGAGACACGGUCCAGACUCCUACGGAGGCAGCAGUGGGGAAUAAUUGCGCAAUGGCGAAAGCCUGAUCCAGCCAUGCCGCGUGCAGGAA
Molecule: ribosomal RNA, 366 nt
Filed under: uncultured bacterium
Lineage: Bacteria
Description: bacterial SSU rRNA
Rfam family: Bacterial small subunit ribosomal RNA
Source: RNAcentral